GAUGAACGCUGGCGGCGUGCCUAAUACAUGCAAGUCGAGCGAACAGAUGAGGAGCUUGCUCCUCUGACGUUAGCGGCGGACGGGUGAGUAACACGUGGAUAACCUACCUAUAAGACUGGGAUAACUUCGGGAAACCGGAGCUAAUACCGGAUAAUAUCUUGAACCGCAUGGUUCAAUAGUGAAAGACGGUUUUGCUGUCACUUAUAGAUGGAUCCGCGCCGCAUUAGCUAGUUGGUAAGGUAACGGCUUACCAAGGCAACGAUGCGUAGCCGACCUGAGAGGGUGAUCGGCCACACUGGAACUGAGACACGGUCCAGAGUCCGACGGGAGGCAGCAGUAGGGAAGCUUCGGCAAUGGGCGAAAGCCUGACGGAGCAACGCCGCGUGAGUGAUGAAGGUCUUCGGAUCGUAAAACUCUGUUAUUAGGGAAGAACAAAUGUGUAAGUAACUAUGCACGUCUUGACGGUACCUAAACAGAAAGCCACGGCUAACUACGUG
Molecule: ribosomal RNA, 497 nt
Filed under: uncultured bacterium
Lineage: Bacteria
Description: partial 16S ribosomal RNA
Rfam family: Bacterial small subunit ribosomal RNA
Source: RNAcentral